RNAcentral lists this ribosomal RNA (253 nucleotides) under uncultured bacterium. RNAcentral describes it as "partial 16S ribosomal RNA". It matches the Rfam family "Bacterial small subunit ribosomal RNA", at positions 524 to 776 of the family's 1533-position model. The record is from RNAcentral.
UACGGAGGGUGCAAGCGUUAAUCGGAAUUACUGGGCGUAAAGCGCACGCAGGUGGCUGAGUCAGUCGAUUGUGAAAGCCCUGGGCUUAACCUGGGAAUUGCAGUCGAUACUACUCGGCUCGAGUAUGGGAGAGGGCAGUGGAAUUGCCGGUGUAGUGGUGAAAUGCGUAGAGAUCGGCAGGAACACCCAGGGGGAAACCAGCCGACUGGGCAUCUGCUGACGCUGAGGUGCGAGAGCGUGGGGAGCGAACCGG